Molecule: transfer RNA, 74 nt
Filed under: Anaerolineae bacterium
Lineage: Bacteria; Bacillati; Chloroflexota; Anaerolineae
Also listed under: 2 other names
Description: tRNA-Val
Rfam family: tRNA
About the family: Transfer RNA (tRNA) molecules are approximately 80 nucleotides in length. Their secondary structure includes four short double-helical elements and three loops (D, anti-codon, and T loops).
Source: RNAcentral
GGGCGGUUAGCUCAGCUGGCUAGAGCGCUACGUUGACAUCGUAGAGGUCGUAGGUUCAAGUCCUAUACCGCCCA